RNAcentral lists this long non-coding RNA (443 nucleotides) under Malus domestica (apple). RNAcentral's name for it is "long non-coding RNA (MDOM_LNC001115)". The record is from RNAcentral. Lineage: Eukaryota; Viridiplantae; Streptophyta; Magnoliopsida; Rosales; Rosaceae.
GUUUUUGAUUCAUUGCACAGCAAAUUAUCAAAACAAUCAUUGUAAAUUGCAACAAACAUUAGACGGUUGGAUUAUUAAUUAGAAAUUAAACACAGCAUUUAAAAGUUAAAACCAAAUUAAAAAGGGAAAAUCAAGAUUGGGAACGUUCCUUGAGAGCCUGAAAAACCCUAGAGCUCUUGUAAAAUAUUUGAGCCCUUCUAUGGUAGUCUUUAGGUUCCUUGCCUUCGUCUUCCCCCAUGAUCGCUUCACGCUCCAAACACUCCAAAAGCUCCACCACUCCUCUAUCCCCGCACUUCUCGCUCCACAUCCCUUCCCUCAUCCACUCCUCUUCUUCUUCCGGCCGCAGCUCCGCCUCCAAUUCGCUUUCCACCUCGGAUGAGCAACCCACAUCCCCGCACCUCACCGCCACCGCCGGUUUCUUGCGGUCCAAGCUUUGCUGCCUG